RNAcentral lists this long non-coding RNA (3741 nucleotides) under Mus musculus (house mouse). RNAcentral describes it as "long non-coding RNA chr11:93378487-93382228". The record is from RNAcentral. Lineage: Eukaryota; Metazoa; Chordata; Mammalia; Rodentia; Muridae.
UUUUUUUUUUUUUUAAUAGCUCAUAUCACUUCUUAGUGUUAUACCAGAUUCUCUGCAUGUGUGCAUCUUUACUGAGCAUCUGGGCUGAAACCACUGUUGUCUGUAGUGAAGAGUGCUGCCCCAAGCCUGAGAACGCAGGUAUCCUGUGCACAUCAACUUCAUACCCUUCAGGGAGGCUUUGGUUAUGAGCCACUGAUCUUCAUCAUCUCUGUGCCAGUAUCAUGCUGUCUUGGCUGUCCUGGCUCUGUGGUAAAUUUUGAAGUCAGGUAUUUGAUAACCCCAGCAUUGUUCUUUUUGUUCAGGGUAGCUUUGGAUGUUCAAGGUCUUUUGUUCUUCACAGACAGCCAUGUGAGAACAAAGAAGGGGAAAGUAGUGCAUUCCAUCUGGCAGUGAAGUCAAGGAACAAAAUAAAAUUUGCUCCUUAAGCUGUGGGACUUCCUAGGUGUCCUAUAUAAUCCUUUCUCUCGGAAAUGAUGGCAUUCCCUCUUCUGCACAGAGGAGCUGUUUUAUUCCAUGACUUGCAAAAACCCUAUUGGAUGGGAAAAGUUCAGAGGAGCCUGGGUUUGUCAUCUCCACCUAUGAGGUAAGCUGGUGUUUCUUGAGUAUUUUCUAUGGUUGGCACUGUUCUAAGAGCUGAGGAUACAGUGGUGUGUGAGGUUCUUGCUUUCCUGAGGCUCCUUCCAUGUGUGCCUUGGCCUCUGCAGGUUUCCAUUACCCCUGCUAUGAGGGAGGUCAGGAAAGUAGCAUCUUCCUGGAGAAAUCUCAAAAGCUCCUUUUGGUAUUCAAGCAAGCCUGAGCUCUUCCUCAUUUACCAGCAGCCCAAUGAAAAUGAAUGCAAUCCGGUCUGACUUUGCAGCUUGCGUCCUUAUGUGUAAACUCUAUUUGUUGAUGCUAUAUAAAUUUAAUGGAUGCUUCCAAGUCCAUUUAGCCAACAUGGGUUAAAGCAGUGAACUAGUUCUCCAUGUUCCUCUAUUUUAUAUACAUUAUGACUCUGUAUAUGGAACCAUAAAACUCAGGACAGAUUUAUUCAUGUGCUGCACUAUAUAUUUUCAUAGAAAUGUUUUGCUAGGCACCUGUAAUAGGCUGAUGUAUGUGAACAGUUUUCUAAAGUUUAUUUCACAUAGAUCUCUCUUAAAUUGCAUGUGAGUGACAUUUUAUUGGCUUAACUCUUGUUUCCAUGACACAGCCCCAAUUUGCAUCCCUGCUGUGGCCUUACUCCCCCUUGCUUGUGGUGUGUGUGUGUGCUCCUCUUGUCUUUGAUGCAUUUCUUCAGGAAGCUAUCACUAAAGACUCCAGAUUGGCCUCUUUCCUGGAGAAGCCAAUCCAUCUCUUGUGUGUUGCAAAAGUGGACUUGAAUAUUCAAAUUCCAUGCCUUAACUGAUUAUGGCAUAGUGACAUAAAGACAUGGACUGGUCCCAUUCUUUGUGUGAUCAGAGUGCAUGGCAUGAAAACAUCGGUGAGAUAACAUGGCCCUUUUCCUAAGUGGUUUUCUUCACCUGACACUGACUCAGACUUCUUGACCUGCAAUUCCAUCAAAGUAAGAUGGAAAACAAAGACAUGCACAUGUGCCAAAUACCUUGUAUAAGCCAAAUUUGUGGUGCACUUUGAAGAUCUACAGUCUUGCUUAAGGUCUAUACAUCAGGAAAGUUGUUGCAGGGAGAUUAAAGAACUGGACCAAGGUCACACAGCUAAUGAGUGGUGGGACCACUGAGCAGUUAAACCCACGAGGAUCCAGGGCUCACAAAAGGAUUCCAGGGAGCCAAAGGCAACACUGCCUUCUCCUUGCCUAUAGCACAACAUCCAUUUCAGCUAUCACUGAAUAAUGGUUCAUUUAAUGAAUGUGCCCUAUGUGUUGAGGACUGUGCUCACUGGGUACUGCAUUUGAGCUAGGCAGAGUGAUGUUUGAGUUACAGGAUUUCAUGUUACCUCCUUCUCUAUAUAAGAAUACCAUGUAAGGAUACUACAAAUGAAUGGCUUGGCUUUGAAAGAAAAUCUUAGCAUCAAGAGAAGCAAAUUCCUCUCUGCAUUUCCAGUUGUAUGGGACAUACAUAGACAAGGUACCCCUUGAACAUUUUGAAAUGAAUCAAUUAUGGGUAGAUUUAUAACGUGUCUGAAGAAAAUAUUAUAUACAUUUAUUUGCAUAUCCACGACCCCCACAGUCCAGUGCUGUACUGUGUCAUCUGUGAAUCUUCAGUGUCUGGCAAUGGACUCACCAUAAAUCAGAGCUUGAUAUAUGAAUAUAUGGGAGAGAGACUAUGCAAUAUCAGGGCAAUUUGGGCACUGUUAGGAAUGAUCAGUCUAGUGUCAAAAGAAAGGCAGAAUAAAGAAACAAGAAAAUGGGUGUCAAGCACUGACCUCAAGAGUAAAAUUUAAACUGAUUACCAAAAAAACUUAGCAAUCAAAUUAAAUAGUAUUUUAAUGUGAUAUUUUACAUAAUCAAAAUAGGAUCUGACAAAGCCAAAGAUUAGCAUUUGACAACAAGAUGAAAAGUCAUAACUCAUGUUUGUUUAAAAUUUUUAUUUUUCACCCCUGCUUUGCAUUUACCUUGUUUUUAAAAAAGAAAAUGCACCAAAACAUUGUUUAUUUCCAUCACUGAAAUCAUGGCACAGAUUAAAUUUUAUAUCCAAGAUGGAUUUCUCUCAUUUGCCUUGCCUUAGCACUUGCUCUGUAAAGCCAACACUAACAACUGAAAAUUCUUGGGUAUCUGGUUAUAUGAGAUGUACUUUGUGUAAGAAAAGUCACAGAAAUCUCACAGAAGCCUAUCUUUCAGGAAGGUUCACAGAUAGGAUGGCUAAAAUAUGAGGAGGCGAUAUUGCCUUCCUGGGCUAUCACACAGAUUACAGAUGUGUCCUAGAUAUUGCUUUUCUCAGCCCCCAACAGGUACUGCCCAGAUCCUGGGUAUGUGGGGGGUCACAGGACAGCUGCCUCCUGCCAGAAGCAGUCCCAUACAUUUAACCCACCAUGCUACACCAACAUUACAUUCCAGUGAAUUCUAAAUUCUACCCAUUAUCAGAAUCAGCAUGGUUUUAUGUUUCUGUUCCCCAUGCCACCAAGAUAACAGCAAUUUUCAGGUGCUAACAACUGUAAGAUACAUCCCAAUUUCAGAGAUUCUGUAAUAUGAAAUUUUAAAAACUGCAUUUUGGAAUGGUAAAAAAAUACAUUAUGAUUCUAUUCCAAGUGUUGAAAUUCAUUCUAUUCCAUGAUGUUGAAAAAAGACAGAAAUUCUACUUAAGGGUAUGCUGUGGCGAUAAGAACAACAGACUUGAGUGCUAUGCAUAUCUCUAAAUAUUUACAAGUCCGUCUACCACCUGCAACCCAUCAAAAGGUGCUAUACUUUCUACAAUGGAAAACUUCAAACCGGUGGCAAGGGAGAGAUGCUACUUUCCCUUAGGAAGGAGGCUGCUCCAUUUGCCUCCAGAAAGAGGGGAGAUUGCAGUCCUUACUGUCUGGAUGUAUUAUUCUUAAAGAGGUUAAGAAUCCCAUCUACUUACAAAGUUACUUAGAGAGAUGAAUUUUAACAAGAAGGAGAAGAAGGGUGAGGACUGGAGAGAUCUCAGCUGUUAAGAACACCUGAUGCUCUUCCAAAGGACCCCGGCUCAAUCCCCAGCACCUAUAUGGCAACUUACAACCAUAUGGCAACUUGGAAUCUCCAGUUCCAAAAGAUCCAACACUUUUCAGGUCUCCAUGACACACAGCCAUACAUGCAGGCAAAACACUCAUAUACACAAGAUAAUAACUUUU